Long non-coding RNA from Callithrix jacchus (white-tufted-ear marmoset), 4833 nucleotides. RefSeq lists it as uncharacterized. The record is from RefSeq and is a predicted model, not a curated record. Lineage: Eukaryota; Metazoa; Chordata; Mammalia; Primates; Cebidae.
AGUUUUAAUUUUUGAGAUUUAAAGUUUUUUCUUUUCUUAAUUUCUCUACAACUCUUACUAUAGGUAGAAUCUCAACUUUUGUCUUGUUUUCCUCUACCAAUUUCUAAUUUGUCAUUUUUAAAUGUACUCUCUCUACCUUGCUAUAACUUUAGGCUUUUUUUUUUCUAUUCCUUAAUCCUUUGUUCAGGACUCUGAAAUUUAAUGGUAUAGCAUCAAAAAUGAGAAUAGUGGCCAAAAACAGCAGACUUUACAACUAUAAGAACUUAUUAUCAAAUACAGAUUACAUCUUAAUUUUAUAUAAAUGAGUUUAUUUAAUUUUUUUAAAAAACCUGAAAUGUCUAUCAUAACCUAAAGGGUUAAGACAAAUAUCGUGACGACAUAAAUGUCAACUGUGGCUGGAGAUCUGUUGAUUGAGAGUCCCUAUUUUUAAUAAAUUUGCAUGGAUGUGGUAAGACUGGAAAGCAUUUUUGAGCAAACAUCAGAAUAUAUAAAUAAAUAUGAAUGUAAAGGACAUCAAAAUACCUGGGUUGGGAGGAUCAGCACAAUUUAAAAUCAGUUGAAUUUCCUAAGUAUUUAUAAGCACAUACUAAAUUCACAACAUCUAGCUGAACCCUGUGGGUACAUAAAGAUGGAAAUGCCGUAUGACAGGAGGUGUUGCAGAGAUCUCUUAUAAACUCACUGACCUGAUUCACUCAGUCCAAUUUUUUGAGCUUUAUGUAUCCCCUUCAUUAAGUGACAUGACUAUAAUAUGUGGAGGCAUCAGGGAUUUGAUGUGGACAUAUCUUUGGGAACACCCUUCAACUAACUACAGAGGUCCAAAUAGCCCUUCUCCUUGCUCUACUCCUCUGUUUAGAAAACUUUAAGGGCUUUAACCCUGUUCACUCUGGCCAACAUUUGCACCACAACUUAUCUUCUGACCUCUUCCCACAUUUUCUUUGUUACUCACUAUACCAACUACAGUGACCUUUUAUCUGCAAACAUCCCCACACAUGUUUAUUAGCACAGGUAUAUGCAUACAGAAAAAAAAAAUAACCUACUCUGAAGGAGCCUGCAGCCUAGUUUGAGAGUGUGAAAUCAGUCACUCAAUGAAACGUAGAGUGAGAUUGUGAGGCAUGAGCCAUUAACUGAACAUGACUGACCAUUGUUGAAAAGGCCUGGGGAAAUUUCAGAAAAAGCAUAGCAUUUUUACCAAACCCUAGAGAAUAAAAUAACAGUUAACUGUGAGAUGGAAAAGGAGGACGCAUGUUUCCUACUAAUAAAGAAAGAGCUGUGGAAAUCCUUGACAUAAUGUGAAUCCUAAUAUUCUGAUAGAUUCUUUUCAAGGUUUUGCUCAAUUCUUAAUUUUCAGUAAAUGUUUUACCCCAAAGCCUUGGCUCUAACAAUCUUUCACAAAAACCAGGAGAAUGGCUGUAACUGCAUGUUAACUGUGCCUCAUUCCAUGGAAGCCCACUCUAGUAUUGAGACUUUUAUGCUAGAAAAUGAGUGUAACCUGAUUUUAUAAAAUUGUCAAAUGACAUCAUAGUAUGCAUCCAUUUUAGUUAUGGGUUAGGAAGUUAUUAAUCCACAACUAAAAUGAAAGGCAAAGGUACAUUCAUAAUCAUUUAAGACUAUAAGCAAUAGUUUUCAUGUGCUUUACCAGUAUUAAUAGCACAAUUCUUGAGUACAUGCUAUGUGCUUAUUACAUGGCUUAUAACAUGCGUCAUUCUGUGAAGAAGGUUGACAGGGUUUGACUGUGUCCCCACCCAAAUCUUAACUUGAAUUGUAGUUCCUAUAAUCCCUUAUGUCAUGGGAAGGAGGCUGUGGGAGUAAUUUAAUCAAGGGGCAGUUAUCCUCAUAUCAUUCUUGUGAUAGUGAAUGAGUUCUCACAAGUUAUGAUAGUUUUACAGGGUUUUUCCCUUUUGCUUGGCAUUUCUCCCUGUUGCCAUGUGAAGAAGGAUGUGUUUGCUUCCCCUUCUGCCAUAAUUGUAAGUUUCUUGAGGCCUCCCUAGCCAUUCAGACCUGUGAGUCAACUAAACCUAUUUCCUUUAUAAAUUAUCCUGUCUCAGGUAGUUCCUUAUUAGCAGAAUAAGAACAGACUAAUACAGUAAAUUGAUACUGGGUAUAGGGACGCUCUGUAAAGAUACCUGAAAAUGGGGAAGCAACAUUGGAACUGGGUAAUAGGCAGAGGUUGUGUUCCUGGACCAAACUGAGGGUCGAGUUGCUAUUUCUUGUGGCCCAAUAAUGAGAUACAGAUGGACUGGGGAGGAAGAGAGUUUUUAUUUCUGUAACUGGUUACAGGGAAAAGGGCUGGAGAUUAUUGCCAGACCAUUUUAAAAUUACAAAGUUUUCUAGAGCUUAUAUACCUUCUAAGUAUGUCUCCAUUUAAGUGUGCAUUUAUCUAAAUACCUAAGUGGUUAACUUCUUUUAAUCUAUAAUUAAGGUCUGACUCCUGAAGACUUUUCUCUGGAGUCUCAGUAAAUUUAAUCUAAAUGGGUCCAGGUGCUGGGGUGAUUACCCUUAUGUUGUCUCCUGCUAAAUUACAGAUAUUUGAGGAAUUCCUCCAGACCCCCCAUAAACUUGUUUCUGGUGGCCUGGGGAAUUUCUUCAGACCCACAAUAAAACUUGCUUAAUCCUAAAUGGAUCAGUCCUGUUAAGAAUUCCUUCAUAAUUUUGUCAUGCUUUAAGGCCCAGGAAAGGCCUAGGCAAAACUUCUUCAUGGCUUUUUACAUGCCAUCCUUUGUAUAAAGACACUGGCUUUUAACAUGUAACUGAAGCAUUCAGUCAUCACUGAAACAAUUAUUAGUGAGAGCUGGUCUGCCACAGUUGGAGCAGCUUGGAGGGCUCAGAAGACAGGAAAAUGUAAGAAAGUCUGGAACUUCCUAGAGACUUGGAGGGCUCAGAAGACAGAAAGAUGUUGGAAAGUUUAGAACUUCCUAGAGACUUGUUGAAUGGAUUUAACCAAAAUGCUCAUAGUGUUGUGGACAAUAAAGUCCAGGUUGAGGUGGUUUCAGAUGGUGAUGAGGGGAACUGAAAUAAAGGUGACUCUCGCUAUGCUUUAGCAUAUUGCCCCUGUCCUAGAGAUCUGUGGAGCUUAGACGUUGAAAAAGAUGAUUUAGGAUAUCUGGUGAAAGAAAUUCCUAGGUGGCAAAGUGUUUUAGAAGAAGCAGAGCAUAAAAGUUUGAAAAACUUGCAACCUGACAAUUCAGUAGAAAAGAAAACCCCAUUUUCUGGGGAGAGAUUGAAGCCAGCAGCAGAAUUUGCAUGAGUAAUGAGGAGCCAGAUGCUAAUCACCAAGACAAAGGGGAAAGUGUCUCUAGGACAUGUCAGAGGUCUUCAUGGCAGCCCCUCCCAUCACAGACCUGGAGGCCUAGAAAGGAAAAUUGGGCCAGGUCUAGGGCACUAUUCAGUUUAACAAUAUUUUAACAUUCAACUGUGAAAUUUAUCAUUAUUCAUUAUGCCUUGGCUUCUUGAAAACUCAGGUCUAACUCGGAUUCUUGAAGUGAGCCUUAAGCCUUAAUCUCCGGCUUCCCAGUUCUGGGUUCAAGGCCCCUAUGUCAGGCUACCCCAAACCCUUUGGCUUAUACCUCUCAGGGCAAUAGCUCAUUGUGCCUCUUUUUCUAACAAUUUACUCUCCAACAGAUUAAAUGUCAGAUGCCUGAAGCAUCUAACAUUCAUUCAUUCAGUCUUCUAUUUACUAAUGAAUUAUAUGACCAGGCAUGGUGGCUCAUGCCUGUAAUCUCAACACUUUGAGAGGCCAAAGCAAGUGGAUUACUGGAGCCCAGGAGUUCCAGGUCAGCCUGGGCAACAUGGCAAAACCCUGUCUCUACUAACAGUACAAAAAUUAGCCAGGCAUGGUGAUAUGCACCUGUAGUCCCAGCUACUGGGGAGGCUGAGGUAUGAGGAUGAGUUAAGCCCCAGAAGUCAAGACUGCAGUGAGCCAUAAUUAUGUCACUGCACUCUAGCCUGGGUGACAGCAUGAGACCCUGUUUCAAAUAAUAACGCUAGUAAUGAUAAUGAAAUAUGCUUUGACCUCCAUUAUAUGCCAGGUUCUGCCCCUGGAAUACAUGUGCCAUCAGGUCUUCUGUAUCUUCUAUACUUCUGGUGCUUGCAUUCUGAGGCAUGAGUGUUGCCCAAGCGGAUAUCAGUCAAAAACAAUGUGACAGACAAGAAAAACAUUUUUGCUCGACCAACCAUGCCAUCCGCAGACCCACAGGGUGAUAAAACUGAAAGGACCUGAUAUUCACAAAACCUGAAUGAAAUUAUUUGUCUUGCUGUUUGCCAGUUGUCCUAACUUGAGCAGUCAACCUAUACUCUGUGGAUCUUGAUUUUCUCAUCUGUAAAAUGUUUGAGUGGAGACUGUGACCUCUUAGGACUUGUGAGGAAUUCUACCUUCAGACACCUGCUCAAUUCCAUGGCAUCUGGGAGAAGAAGAUGAAAGCAUUAUUUCUUGACAGCCACCUAGAUUCCAACAGCAUCAUGUAACAAAUGGUGCUAAGUUAUUCAGGACCCAUGAAUCAACACUUAUUCAUGAAGGCAAUGUUUUAAACCUCAGUGGUCAGAAAAUGUUUGAGAUUUGAAAUAGUUGCUUGAGGUUGAGGCAGAGAGUAACAAAGAAUACUAAAAUUAUCAAAGAAACACCAAAAACAAAUCAAUAGCAUCUAAAUGAUCUUUAACUUCAUAGCUGGUACUAUUUCUGUCCCCUUUUUGCUUCCUAAUAGAAGUUUUUUUUUUUUUUUGGUGAUUUGGUUCUAUUAAGUUCAAGGACAUUUAAGAGAGUAGUAUGAUUAUGAUUAGAGGUACAAGCAUGACCAGAAGCACAAGUUAAUUUAUAAGUGAUUGAAUGAAAAUAAUUUU